Amblyraja radiata (thorny skate) is the source of this 144-nucleotide long non-coding RNA. RefSeq lists it as uncharacterized. The transcript is spliced from 3 exons. NCBI's taxonomy places the organism in Eukaryota, Metazoa, Chordata, Chondrichthyes, Rajiformes, Rajidae. The record is from RefSeq and is a predicted model, not a curated record.
GGAGGUGGCUGUGGUCUGGGAUUCUGAUUUUGCUGAGGAUACUGAUGCCUCAGCUGAGCCAGUUGAGAUCAAGAAGAAGAGGCAAAUGGUAACCAAGCCAUAUGAUUUCAGCAGCGAACAAGAGGGCGACCUGGUAGAUUGGUA